Molecule: long non-coding RNA, 1152 nt
Filed under: Homo sapiens (human)
Lineage: Eukaryota; Metazoa; Chordata; Mammalia; Primates; Hominidae
Description: NUTM2B antisense RNA 1
Source: RNAcentral
GGCCCUCCGGCUGAGCCCUGAUCUCUAUGGUUUCCGCGGCUCGCUAGAAGGAGUGUGGUCCACCGGAGGACUCCCUACAUUCUUCCUCCAUUACCUCACUGCCUCCGGUGGCUGCUGGGAUACCGGAGGACUCGGGUCCCGGCUCGACUCAGUCCUCCAGCCGCCCGGGGAAUACCUCUAGUUCUUCCCGGCCGCCGCCGCCGCCGCCGCCCCGCCGCUUCCUCCUCCGCCUGCCGGCCUCCUUCGCCCCGUCCCGUCCGCGCAGCGCGUCCGGCCCGCCCGCAGGCCAGCUUCUCUCGGGAGCCCCCACCCAGGCGCAUGGCUCCAUGAAGCAAGAGGAGGAGGCAGAGCGCGAGAGGUCCCGUCCGCCCCAGCCGCGUCUGGGCCAGGAUAAAAGCAAAACCAUAUUCCUGCUGCUGUCAGUUAUGAUGCACUGAGAAAACUUCAGAGACCUAAACUUUUUCCAGAGAAGAGAAGCUUUACUGGUGUUCCAGCCCUAAGAAACUUAAAUCCUCAGUGUGACACAACUCAGUCCUUCUACUGCAGCAGCUCUUUUAUAAAAGCCUCCCAAAGCUCCAAGAAGGAACAAAGAAUGUGACCCAGUAAGCUCACACCAUAAAUCUAUAUUGCAGAAACCUUUGUUCAAGAAAACGGCAGAUGCUCUGUUGAAUCCACUGGAGAUUGUUCUGAUACUAAGGACAACAACCAUCUUUCCUGUGAAAAAUUCCCUCUCGUACUUUAGUUCUGUGGAUCCAAAAUUUAUAGCAUUCUUCUACCACCACAGGGGCUCAUAUGACAUUAACAGACAAGACACUUUUCAGAAAGACAGGUUGUUCUUUUGGGCCACAUCUAAGAAAUCUUUGUCUAGCCAAAAGCCACAAAUAAUUUCUCAUUUUUUGGCUUCUGGAAGAUGUACAGUUAAAUGUUAUAUUUGGGACUGUUAUCUAAUUUGAUUAAAUUGCACUCUACAAUAUGAUAUUUGAAUUGAUGAAAAAUUAGUAAAUGUUAAUAUUUUUUAAAGUAGCCAAAUCUUGCAAUUUAUAUAUAAUAGAGAAGACUAGAAAAUCCCCCAUAUUUAUUUCCUCUUACUUCGUACUACUAAAAUUUGUAUUUAGGCAUUUGGUUUCUCAGAUAAACAUUACAUUCCCCAGU